UACGUAGGUGGCAAGCGUUAUCCGGAAUUACUGGGCGUAAAGCGCACGCAGGCGGCGCGUUAAGUCUGACGUGAAAGAACCUGGCUUAACUGGGGGAGGUCGUUGGAGACUGGCGGGCUUGAGGACAUGAGAGGGGUGCGGAAUUCCCGGUGUAGUGGUGGAAUGCGUAGAGAUCGGGAGGAACACCAGUGGCGAAAGCGGCACCCUGGCAUGAACCUGACGCUCAGGUGCGAAAGCGUGGGGAGCGAACGGG
Molecule: ribosomal RNA, 253 nt
Filed under: uncultured bacterium
Lineage: Bacteria
Description: partial 16S ribosomal RNA
Rfam family: Bacterial small subunit ribosomal RNA
Source: RNAcentral